CCUACGGGUGGCAGCAGUGGGGAAUAUUGCGCAAUGGGCGAAAGCCUGACGCAGCGACGCCGCGUGAGGGAUGAAGGUCUUCGGAUCGUAAACCUCUUUAGGCGGGGAGCAAUGCCGGGCACGCGUGCCCGGAGGGAGAGUACCCGCAGCAUAAGCAUCGGCUAACUCCGUGCCAGCAGCCGCGGUAAUACGGAGGAUGCGAGCGUUAUCCGGAUUUAUUGGGUUUAAAGGGUGCGUAGGCGGAUUUUUAAGUCAGCGGUAAAAUGUCCGGGCUCAACCCGGGCCGGCCGUUGAAACUGGGGAUCUUGAGUGGGCGAGAAGUAUGCGGAAUGUGUGGUGUAGCGGUGAAAUGCAUAGAUAUCACGCAGAACUCCGAUUGCGAAGGCAGCAUACCGGCGCCCGACUGACGCUGAGGCACGAAAGCGUGGGGAUCGAACAGGAUUAGAUACCCUUGUAGUC
RNAcentral lists this ribosomal RNA (459 nucleotides) under uncultured bacterium. RNAcentral describes it as "partial 16S ribosomal RNA". It matches the Rfam family "Bacterial small subunit ribosomal RNA", at positions 338 to 795 of the family's 1533-position model. The record is from RNAcentral.